AUAUGAAUACUUCUUAAAAUAGCUAGGUUUAGCUGUCAAUAAGCUCAUCAAAACACUGCCGAGGGACGUUUUUGCAGUUUUCUCAAGCUCAGCGUAGCCAACAUUUUGCCCUCUGUAAACUCAACUGCCUCCAUGAACUCAGCCAUGGCGUGGCGUUGUUUUGAAUCACUUAUGUUCAGACAGAAUUUUUAUAUAUACUAGCUAUAUUAACGCGGAUCAGGAAGACGUCCCACUGUGUAUGUCUUCACGGGGCUGAACAACCAAUUAAAAAAUUAGGAAAGAAGGACAACUAUUUUCCAUCUUCCAUUUCCAUUUUUUACACAUUUCAUUUUGGGGGAAGUUAUUAGGCGCGGCUUCACUCAUAUAGGAAGAGAUAAGAGGACUGCCCAUUAACAAUAUCAAGAAAUAGCCUAACUUCACAUUUACCGAGCGGAUAGCAAAAACUAACUUGGACCCCGGACGUUUUUAGGGAAUUUAAAACAACUGCUGCUUAUCGACAGCGCCCUCGUAAACAAAUUGGGCGUCGGUCCAGCAAAUCUAAACGGGUUUUCUGUUGGACACCGGCUUGACAGAUAAGCCCAAGGUGUACCAGGGUGUGCGUGUGAAGACCACUGUUAAGGAGUUACUGCAGAAGCACAGAGCCCUGCAGGCACAGAAAACCGCAACGAAAUCACAAGCCAUGGCUGCUCGCGAUGUCUGCUCUACGACCAUGAAUACCCACCUUGAUGUCUUUGGAAUGCAAGCUCCAGAGCCCUAUUUCCAGACACGUCCCUUUACCGAAAAUGUCAAUAUCCCGAUGGAGAAUGCUUAUGAUCAUCAACAAAUGAUGCACCUGAUGCCACAUGAGACUUUCAGCGGCAGUAAUUUCGUGUGUCCCACUUCUUCGCAGUGGUCUAAUGGAUAUAUUCCUUCUAACACGGACCUCUAUGGUACUAGCCUGGUAUCGAGAUCACCCUCUGAUACUUUCAAUCUCCCAAGUCCAGUCGACUACAACAGUUACUCUCCCCCUCAGUCCAACUCUUCAUCUUCUUCGUGCUACAGCUCUCCAACGCGGAUGGAUUUGAGCUCUAGUUUCUCUCCAGAAAAUUACCACUAUCAGCAUUGCAACCUACAGAAUUGCUUUUGUCUUUCGCAUUGGUCCAAUCUGCAGGAAGGCAUGGCAACCUCGGAGUUUGCGCCCUACGGCUCUUCAGACUGUUUGUAUUCAUAUGGCGACGACAGUUAUUUCAGAAGGGAUACUUCAAACUCAGAGAUGUGUUUCUUAUAAAAUGCAUUUUGAAGCUCUUUGCGCGAAAAUUCAGUGUCAUAAUUGAUUUAUUUGAAUGCAUUUGUUGUAUUUUAGAUUAGAUAAAAGAACAAGCAGUGAUAGAAUGCAUGAUUUACAAAUUAUUCAUUUAUCUUUUCUACAAUAAACAUAUUUUUUUCGUAAUUAUACUGGCAUUGGGGAAAUAUUUCAGAUUUACAGCGUGCAGUUUCUGUUUUCACUCUUGAAAUGUACAUCGGAGCUUCGAUAGUUUUUUUUUUUUUUACGUACAAAUACAGCUGUGGUACUGAGGGCUCAUUUAUUGUUUUGUAUAUCAACAUUCGACAUUAUGAAAAAUACCAGAAGAAAGCUUAACAAUGUGUUAUUUAUAAAAACAGAUUUUGUCCUGUAACUACAGCUGUUAACAUUUUUAUUUGCUCCUAACAAAUACACUGUAAAUGUCAACUCACACCGAAAACAUAAGUUUAAUCGUCUUCAUUAUUGUAAAGUAAAAACAAAGCAUGCAUUGCACUUUUUCAACCACUUUACUGAUUAAAUAUAAAGCUCACAAAAUUAGUUCAUUUGCAGAAGUUGUUUCUUAUAAGAAUAUUUGAUGAUUUAAGAUUUAUCUCACACCACAAACUGAUCAUGGAACAAGAAGUCAUUUUCACACACUUUCACCAAAAGAUAAAAUGGAAUGAAAGUCGCAGCCCCGUUUACUGAAGUUCAGAAGAAGCUAAAUUAAAAAAAAGACAACAUGAAUCCCACAAACUGCAUUUAAUGUAGCGAUAUCUCAAGAGCUUAACAAUUCCACAUGUAUAAAAUGGUAAACUGCUCAGGGACAAUCGUAUCAUAUAUAAAACAUGAUUUCUAAACGAUAAGCAGUAUAGGGCCUAUACACACUCAAAGGCUAUUCACUUUAAGUUUUCCAAAAAUAUAAAAUAGAAAUCAAUUCAUGCUUGGAUAUCUGUUUUUAAACAUGUCGAGACAUCAAUAUGUGUCUUUAACUUUGGAACAUGGCACGACUUAAUCAGUAAACGGUCACGCAAUGGUGUAUUCAUUAACUAUAGAAAUCGGGAAUGUUUUGCAGUCAAACAGAAGGGUGUGUACAGUGAUCCAGAAUUGGCAGACGCACACGCUUUGUACCCGCUGCUCACCAACUUGGAAUUCCCCUCGGGAAAGCAAAGGACAAGGAAGUCUUCCUUUAGCCACACGUUGACUUCUUUUUUACUUGAACUGCUUUCCCUCCCACUUCUGCACAACGUGAUGUCUGAUCGCGGAACUGAUCCCAGCACACACGUCUUCGUCUGACAAAAUAAAUAAAUAAAAUAAUAACAAACAAGGUUAUUGUUAUUUUUCUCAUAGAGUGCAGUCCAGCAAUAUAAUUUCCAUCAGACUUUAAGCACGCGGAUGGACUAGUCCGGGAAGCUCCAGUUCAAACUGGUUACGUUUUUGUAGGGAAACGAAAAGGAUUUCUGACUUUUUCACCUCAG
Molecule: long non-coding RNA, 2736 nt
Organism: Cyprinus carpio carpio
Lineage: Eukaryota; Metazoa; Chordata; Actinopteri; Cypriniformes; Cyprinidae
Source: Ensembl